This 200-nucleotide ribosomal RNA is filed under the name uncultured Glomus. RNAcentral describes it as "partial small subunit ribosomal RNA". It matches the Rfam family "Eukaryotic small subunit ribosomal RNA", at positions 591 to 797 of the family's 1831-position model. Lineage: Eukaryota; Fungi; Glomeromycota; Glomeromycetes; Glomerales; Glomeraceae. The record is from RNAcentral.
CCAAUAGCGUAUAUUAAAGUUGUUGCAGUUAAAAAGCUCGUAGUUGAAUUUCGGGAUCAGUUGGUCGGUCGUGCCUCGGUACGUACUGGUCAAAUUGAUUCCUACCUUCUGACGAACCACGAUGUCAUUAAUUUGGUGUCGCGGGAAAUCAGGACUGUUACUUUGAAAAAAUUAGAGUGUUUAAAGCAGGCUCGCGCUUG